GCAGGAUUGCACAGCAUCCUGCAAGACGGCUUGAGCUUUGCCUGAUGAUCCAUGGGGAAUCUUCCAUUCGGUGCCUUUCAGAGAGGAAACUGCCCAGCUGGAUAGAGACAGACGGGGAGUUGCUCUUCUGGUCCUCAGAGGAAAGGAAGUACAGUGAUGUCAGCAAUGACCGCCACUGACAUCUCUACCUGGUCAAAUAGCCAAACUGUCCCAAAGGAGAGCCUUGGUAAAGCACCCGCGGGAAGAAGAAAAUUAUGCUCAAGCAACAGGGUGGUCUUCAGAAUGGAAGCCAGAGUACAAAGACAACUGGAGAAUACACACGUAGAAUAAAUAAGCUGAGAAUAAUGGAAAGUUGGAUGAGAGAAUUGACAUUCCACAAAGGUUUUACUUCUCCAAACAGUUGUUCAGAUCAUCUUGGGUCAUCUGGAUUUUGGCCAUUUCGUCACAGGAAAGACUUGUAAAGACACUAUGAGCAGCCUCAGUCAAGCCCACUCAAGAUCAGUUCUUCUGGGAAAGACAUAACCUGCUGAAGAAGUACUGAGAAAGGCUGAAACUGUAAAUGUCGAGUCUACCCAGGAGAGUAAAUAUAAACUGCUUGCAUCUUUCUGGCUGACUUAUAGCUUAUCAAGCACACAUUAAACCUUUAAGCCUUUUUUUUUCUUAAGUAAGAAUAAAUCUAAGUUGAC
Molecule: long non-coding RNA, 686 nt
Filed under: Pan troglodytes (chimpanzee)
Lineage: Eukaryota; Metazoa; Chordata; Mammalia; Primates; Hominidae
Description: lncRNA (ENSPTRG00000054547.1)
Source: RNAcentral